UACGAAGGGGGGCUAGCGUUGCUCGGAAUCACUGGGCGUAAAGGGUGCGUAGGUGGGCCUGUAAGUCAGCGGUGAAAUCUCCGGGCUUAACCCGGAAACUGCCAUUGAUACUAUAGGUCUUGAAUUAUCUGGAGGUAAGCGGAAUAUGUCAUGUAGCGGUGAAAUGCUUAGAUAUGACAUAGAACACCAAUUGCGAAGGCAGCUUACUACCCGAAUAUUGACACUGAGGCACGAAAGCGUGGGGAUCAAACAGG
Molecule: ribosomal RNA, 254 nt
Filed under: uncultured bacterium
Lineage: Bacteria
Description: partial 16S ribosomal RNA
Rfam family: Bacterial small subunit ribosomal RNA
Source: RNAcentral